This 2769-nucleotide long non-coding RNA is filed under the name Prunus dulcis (almond). RNAcentral's name for it is "sRNA ncRNA". The record is from RNAcentral. Lineage: Eukaryota; Viridiplantae; Streptophyta; Magnoliopsida; Rosales; Rosaceae.
GUAGGAUGCCAUCAUUUGGAAUGACUGUAAAAUCCUCCCAAGUAGAUUUACCAAAGACAGAUGGGAAUGCAGGCACUGCACUAUCAAGUGCUUCUUCAGAAAUAUCUCUUGAUGGUUGGGAUGGCAUUGCUCUUGAAUACUCCGUUGAUUGGCCCUUACAGUUGUUUUUUACCCCAGAUGUGCUCUCUAAGUAAGACUCCACUACUAGUGCUACUUGCAGAUGCCAUUCUUUGUUUUAGUUUCAAUAUAUUUGGUAAUUGUCCCUAAAAAUUUCUAAUGCUUUUCUAUUUUGGAGAAGCUUUUUGAGGAAUCAGCUGCUGAAACAUUUUAUUAAGUAUUGAACGUUCUUGAUGUGAAUGCAUGCUAACAUCAGGUGUACCCCAGGUACUGCAGGGUCUUCCAAUAUUUGCUGCGGCUAAAGCGAACACAAAUGGAAUUGGAGAAAUCAUGGGCCUCUGUGAUGCAUCAAGAUCACACAGAUUUUGCCAAGCAUAGGAAUGAUCAUGUAAAGGGCUCAGUAUCUCAGCAGGGAAGGCAGCGAUCUAGACCAAUGUGGCGUAUUAGAGAGCAUAUGGCUUUCUUGAUUAGAAACCUUCAGUUUUAUAUACAGGUUAUGGUUUAUUCCAUUUAACUUUCACUUCCAUAUAUUCAUUAUUUUCCCAGAGAUUUGUUGUGCAAAAACCAUGCAAAAAAACAAAGCAGUAUAGAACAGUAUCUGUGCAUAACCUAAUGUAUUUUCUGUUUCAGGUGGAUGUGAUAGAAUCCCAAUGGAAUGUUUUGCAAGCUCAUAUUCAAGAUUCUAAUGACUUUACUGGACUUGUGGGCGUCCAUCAGGAGUAAGUUGAAUAAAUAAUUUCUUAUUGUAUAUCACUUCUAUGUUGUCAUGCUUUUGGAUGGCUCUCAGUUGUAAAAAUUGUCUAAUAUGCAUAGAAUCAUAUUAGAUGUACUUAAUGAGAAUGGUUGAGGCACGCUACUUAUGAAAUAUGAUGAAUGCAGGAAAACUGUAGGUAGGGGAAGGCCAUUUGAGAGCCACUUAGACUUGUUUAGUUUUUGUUUCUAGGCUUAUCAUUCCACAGUUUGAUUUAGUUUUGUAGUUAGAGAUCCUUGAUUGCUGAUUGUGAUGAUAGCUUGGAGCAGAAGAGCUCCGUAUAAAUUGAGGGCCAAGAAUUUACUAGGGAAUUGAAAGGUCUUUGUGACACCUUACCCACACUUGAUAGAAUAUGUGGUUUCCUUUUUGAAUAUUACAAGGCAAUUAAUGUUUAGUCAACUAUGAAUUGUUGUGGAGUUUGUUCAAUCUUUUAGAGGUUCAUGUUGCCUUUGUAUUUCUGCCAAGCACAUAACCGAAUCAUGGUUGUGCAUCGAUUUUUUUCUGUUCAUUUAAUUAAUUUGUUGAAGAGCUUGAUACUGUUGCUCUUACAAAUUUUCAGCUAUUCCCUGUAUGUGCUUUGUCCAUAUUUUCUAUUGCAGCAUAAUGCUCAUGGAAUUCUAAAAUUUCCUGCAGGUAUUUAUCAGCUUUAAUUUCACAAUCUUUCUUGGACAUUGGCUCUUUAUCAAGGAUACUGGACAGCAUAAUGAAACUUUGCCUUCAGUUCUGCUGGAACAUUGAGAACCAAGAAAGCAGUGAAAAUACAUCUGAAUUGGAACACAUUAUAGAGGUAAACAUCAUUGUUUUGCGAAAAUAAUCUCUCUUCUUGCAAUUAUUGGCAAGAAUAAUUUCCACAUAUUAUACUGCUGCAACUGUCCUGGGAAUUUACUCCGUUGUUGAUGCCAAAGUUGGUUUACCUGUCUGGUUCUCUGACAAUUGACUAGCCCUGCAUAAUUCGAGGAUGUAGGUUAUAUUGUUUGGCUUUCACAAGACUCCGUAGCUGCUUGCAUUAUUUAACAUGUUAUAUAAUGUUCCAAUAUGUGGACUUCAUCUUCAAUUAGGUUUUGUUUUACUUUGUUCAGGAAUUUAACAAGAAAUCAAACUCGCUAUACACGAUAUUGCGCAGUAGUAGGCUUGUUGGGAGCCAGCGAGCCCCAUUUCUUAGGCGUUUUCUGAUGCGUCUCAACUUCAACUCCUUCUUUGAGGUAAAAUCCCAGGCAAGACGCUGGGCUAGAUACUUAUAAUUUUUGCAUUGCAAUUUCUUAACAGUUUAUUGUUCAUUCCUCUCUCAACAGGCAACAGCAAAAGGUGUGCUGAACGUUGUAAGACCACGGCCUACACUUUCUGUUUUGAAUCAACAGUAGCAUAGCAUAUUUUUGUUCUACGGCUUCGAAGUGGCUCCUGCAAACUAUUUUCAGGAGCUGGCCACGUGAGCACUGGUAAAUUCGUUUUUGCUUCUUAAUUUUAAUGGAAGGACAGAGAAAAUGAGCUUUGUUAACGCUUGUCUGAAGACAGAUAUUCGUGUGUGUGUAAAUUGUAAUAUACAUAAAAUGUUUUUCCGAGUUAUUAUGUAGAUAAGGUAUUUUGGUCAACUCCUUGCUGGUUGAUUUUCUGAGUGGAUGAAAGCCAGGUACCUAUUUUGUGGUAUGGUUCGAGUCGAGGCCUGCUUGUUUCUUCGGGUCGACGUUUCGUCAGCUUUGUUGUCCCAAAAGGGUGAAACAAACAAACAAAUUACAAUCCUUGGCGAAGGGGAAUUAGGUAGCGAUUUUGAUUGGCGGCUUGGAAUUGUGGGUCAUUAGGUGAACCUUUUCUAUGUAUUGGGUCUGAAGCUGUCUUGUUAAAUUAAUUCAACUUUAUUAGUUUGUGUACAAGGAGAGUACGAUAGCAUCACGGCAUUGUUGUGA